This 1022-nucleotide long non-coding RNA is filed under the name Coffea arabica (coffee). RNAcentral's name for it is "long non-coding RNA (CARA_LNC000324)". Lineage: Eukaryota; Viridiplantae; Streptophyta; Magnoliopsida; Gentianales; Rubiaceae. The record is from RNAcentral.
UCUUUCUUUCUUUUUCUUUUUUUUUCUUUCUUUUUUCUUUUCCUUCCUCCCUUUCUUCCUCUUCUCCCUCCCCCUCCCCUCCCCUGAUCCCUCUCUCGGUACCUCCAUGGCAGCAACCAACAGGUGAGAAUCAAUUUUUUUUUUUUUUUGCUUUUUUUCUCUUCCCCUCUCCCUCCCCCCCUCCCUCUUGUCCCUCCCCCUCUCCCCUUCCCCUCUCCUUUACCCCGCUACCCUCUUUUUUUUUUCUGCUUUUUUUGUCUUCUCCUCUCCCUCCCCUGCCACUCCUCCCUUUCCCUUCCUCGCCAUCCCUUCCUUCCUCCGCCGGCCCUUCCCUUCCCCUUCCUUCCCCAGCCACCCUCUCCUUCCCGCUUCGGCCUCCCCUAGCUGCGAUCUAGUCGUGCGACCAGAUCGCAGCUCCCUUCCCUCUCCCCCUUUGCGAUCUAGUCGCGCGACCAGAUCCGUCAAAGGGGGAGGGGGAGGGUGGCGGGGGAGGCAGAGGGGAAGAGGGGAGGAGGGAGGGAGAAAGAAAAAAGAAAAAGAGCUUCAGUGACUAGAUCGGGCAAAGGGGGAAGGGGAGGGUGGCGGGGGCAGCAGAGUCGAAGAGGGAGGGAGGAGGGAGAGAAAAAAAAAGAGGACCGCUGGAAUAGUGAUUGCCGCCGGAAGUGGUGGUGGAGUGGUCACAGGCGCCGGAGGACGUGGUGGGUUGGGUGGGGGAGGAAAAAGAAGAAAAGUUGAAGAGAAAGUUUUUUGUGUAUUUUUGAAGUGUGUUAGGUUAAAAACUUUGAUAAGUUUUUGGAGUUCCUGUAGUAAAAGUUGUUAAAAAACUAGUUUUAUACAAACUUGGUAAAAAACCAAGCUUCCAAACAGGGCCAUCAUUAGUUUGUUAGCUUAGGAUUCAUUGUAUACUACGUAAGUAGUAGUACUUUUGCUUACUGUGCUGGAGGAAAGAUUAUCUUUAUUUACGGGCUAAGGUUUGUAAUUUAUAAGUCGAAACUCAAAAUAAUAACCAAUUUGUUAGUGAA